GUUGAGCAUUGUGUUAUGGUGGUGAUUUUUGAGGAGUGAUGGAAAAUAAUAAACAAUCCCUUUCAAUCGAAGUCUUUUAAAAGUAUUUUCAUGGGGUUUUAUGUGCUAGAAAUAAAGAAUAAUUAUGGAACAAAGCUAAGAUAGGUAACGUGAAAGAAAAGAAAUGGUUAUAUUGAUAAAUACACACAAGAAAGGGCUGAAAAGUUCAGUAAUGGCGCUGCCGCCAUAAUGGCUAUCUUUGUAGUUAUUCGGCUGUCAGGGACAAUCUUGCCGCUAUUUAUGUGUCUGGUUGUAACUAUGUGUCUUCAAAAAGACUACUAAGCACUACUGUUGAGAAAAUAUAAAGGAACAGAAGCAUUAUGAACCGCAAGGUACGAAAAUAUUUGGACUUUAUGCACCUAUCAAUGUUUUCCCCCUGAGGGGGGGGGGGGGGG
This is a non-coding RNA of Paramuricea clavata, 434 nucleotides long. NCBI's taxonomy places the organism in Eukaryota, Metazoa, Cnidaria, Anthozoa, Malacalcyonacea, Plexauridae. The record is from the annotation of a GenBank genome assembly.